UUCUUUGGAGAGUUUGAUCCUGGCUCAGGACGAACGCUGGCGGCGUGCCUAAUACAUGCAAGUCGAGCGGACUGGAUUGGAGCUUGMUCUGAUUAGGUCAGCGGCGGACGGGUGAGUAACACGUGGGC
This 128-nucleotide ribosomal RNA is filed under the name Geobacillus sp. LEMMY01. RNAcentral's name for it is "partial 16S ribosomal RNA". It matches the Rfam family "Bacterial small subunit ribosomal RNA", at positions 1 to 122 of the family's 1533-position model. Lineage: Bacteria; Bacillati; Bacillota; Bacilli; Caryophanales; Anoxybacillaceae. The record is from RNAcentral.